RNAcentral lists this non-coding RNA (86 nucleotides) under Stegodyphus mimosarum. The record is from RNAcentral. Lineage: Eukaryota; Metazoa; Arthropoda; Arachnida; Araneae; Eresidae.
GUAUUAUAUGAAAGAAGAUAAAGUUAACAUUCUCCUUGACAAGGAUUAUCAAGUAUUCCUAGAAGAGUAGAUUUAUAUUAUUUUUU